GGAGAGGUAGCUGAGGCAGGCUCAGAGCGGCACGGCAGCGUGCUGAUGCGGGUUCGACUCCCGCCUUCUCCA
This 72-nucleotide transfer RNA is filed under the name Muribaculaceae bacterium. RNAcentral describes it as "tRNA-OTHER". It matches the Rfam family "tRNA". Rfam says of the family: Transfer RNA (tRNA) molecules are approximately 80 nucleotides in length. Their secondary structure includes four short double-helical elements and three loops (D, anti-codon, and T loops). Further hydrogen bonds mediate the characteristic L-shaped molecular structure. tRNAs have two regions of fundamental functional importance: the anti-codon, which is responsible for specific mRNA codon recognition, and the 3' end, to which the tRNAs corresponding amino acid is attached (by aminoacyl-tRNA synthetases). tRNAs cope with the degeneracy of the genetic code in two manners: having more than one tRNA (with a specific anti-codon) for a particular amino acid; and 'wobble' base-pairing, i.e. permitting non-standard base-pairing at the 3rd anti-codon position. The record is from RNAcentral. Lineage: Bacteria; Pseudomonadati; Bacteroidota; Bacteroidia; Bacteroidales; Muribaculaceae.